This 208-nucleotide long non-coding RNA is filed under the name Mytilus galloprovincialis (Mediterranean mussel). Lineage: Eukaryota; Metazoa; Mollusca; Bivalvia; Mytilida; Mytilidae. The record is from RNAcentral.
CAUUCACAAACGGCAACCACGGAAAACCGGUUCCUAAAUGUGGACCGGUGCAAAUAAAAGCAGUAGGUUUAUUCGUUUUGACAGGCAUCAACCCUCAUCCCUACCCAAAGUAGUGGUGAAACAUUACGAUGUAGAAAGACGCACUAUAAAAUAUCAGUUGAAAUGGCUUAACUGAAUCAAAAACACAACAAAAGCACAUACUUACAAA